This 1521-nucleotide long non-coding RNA is filed under the name Mytilus galloprovincialis (Mediterranean mussel). Lineage: Eukaryota; Metazoa; Mollusca; Bivalvia; Mytilida; Mytilidae. The record is from RNAcentral.
AUUUAUCUGUAUUGAAAAAGAAGGGAAAUUCUAAUUUUUAAUUAUGCUAAAUCAAAAGUUGAAUAAACUCAUUAUAAAAACCAAUAUUUGUUUAUUGAGUUUUGAAAAAGAAAUUUCAUUCAUAUUAAAGGAAAAACAGUAUGUCCUUGUAUUGCAGUUCCCAUGACAUCAACAUUUGUUGGAAAUAGCAUUUAAAAACAGAGUUUCAUUAAUUUAUAGUUUUUAACAUAGUAAUUUUGAUUAAAAAAAAUAUGAAUUGAAUUUAUCCUGAGUUUCCAUGGUAAAAUAACCAUUGCUUAUAUGUCUCAUCAUAGCUAAACACUGCCCUGAAGUUUAGAUAGUUUAUGUAUAGAUAGCUUUUGAUUGACACAAUGUAAUCAUGAGUUAUUUCCCUUUAAUUGGUAUAUUGGAAACAAUGGCACAAAUGCCUUGUUUGUAUUAAAUAUUUCAAUUUGGUUAGUCAAAAAGGAAAAGCUAUUAGGUACACCUUUACAUGAUGUCCAAGGGAAAUAACUCAAACAUGAGUUAUUUCCCUUUAAUUGUCAUGUUGGAAACAUUGGCAUAAAUGCCUUGUUUGUGUUAAAUAUUUCAAUUUGGUUAGUCAAAAAGGAAAGGCAAUCAGCUGGUACAUCUUUGCAUAACAGUUAAGCGAAAUAACUCUUAACUCAAACUAUGUCAUAUUGAAACCUAUUUAUACCAUCACACCUCAUUUAACUUCACAUUUAAACCUUUUUUUUAUCAUAAAUCUCAAAAAAAAUUGAUCACAUUUUGUAUAUAUAUGUAAUAAGUAUGUCCAUGCAGGGUGUUUUAGUAUUUCAAAUGUACAGGGAAUGCAAGUUUGUAGUGGUUUUUUUUUUUAACUCAUUCACAACCAUGUCUUGGUAAUCAUUGUACAUUUAACAUCAAAUUUUACUUCAUCAGUUGUUCAUAUUUUUUCCUGUUUUUUACCUUGAUUUUAUUUGUCCAUGAAUGUAUAAAAGGCUGCUUAAUAAUGAAUAUCAAUACUUUUCAAAAAGACUUUAUGACAAAAAAAUGUUUUAGUGCCAUUUUUAAAUAUGAUUGUUUUUAAACUGUUGAUUAUUUGACCUUUAUCGUAACAGUGAUUUUAACAUUGUAUAUCAUUUCAUGAUUUCAGACAAGAUUUACUUCCACAUCAUUUGGUCUCUGGUGGGAAUUUGACCUAUUGGCACCCAUACAAUGUCUCUUUAUUUUUAUACCAGGUCAAUCUCAUAUAUUUCAACUAAAGUCCUAUAUAUUUUAAUUUUUAGUUUAAUCCAAGUACAUACAUUUUUACUUUAUUUUUAAUGGUUUUUUUUUAAUUGUUUGGUUGCUGUUUAAUGGAUGUUUUUUCCCAUACAUUCUUUAUUUUACAUGCAUUGUGUUUUAUUGCUUUUAUUCAUGAAAUUUAAAUUAAAGGGUUGCUGUUCAUUAAAAUCACUCACCAAUACAAAAUUAAUCAUUAUUUCAUAUUAUGAUAGUUGUUGAUUUGUUGUUUGUUUUGUAAGAAUUGUGUUUGUGUGU